GACGAACGCUGGCGGCGUGCUUAACACAUGCAAGUCGAACGGAAAGGCCCUGCUUUUGUUGGGUGCUCGAGUGGCGAACGGGUGAGUAACACGUGAGUAACCUGCCCUUGACUUUGGGAUAACUUCAGGAAACUGGGGCUAAUACCGGAUAGGAGCUCCUGCUGCAUGGUGGGGGUUGGAAAGUUUCGGCGGUUGGGGAUGGACUCGCGGCUUAUCAGCUUGUUGGGGGGGUAGUGGCUUACCAAGGCUUUGACGGGUAGCCGGCCUGAGAGGGUGACCGGCCACAUUGGGACUGCGAUACGGCCCAGACUCCUACGGGAGGCAGCAGUGGGGAAUAUUGCACAAUGGGCGGAAGCCUGAUGCAGCAACGCCGCGUGCGGGAUGACGGCCUUCGGGUUGUAAACCGCUUUCGCCUGUGACGAAGCGUGAGUGACGGUAAUGGGUAAAGAAGCACCGGCUAACUACGUG
RNAcentral lists this ribosomal RNA (468 nucleotides) under uncultured bacterium. RNAcentral's name for it is "partial 16S ribosomal RNA". It matches the Rfam family "Bacterial small subunit ribosomal RNA", at positions 28 to 507 of the family's 1533-position model. The record is from RNAcentral.